UCAGGCCUAACACAUGCAAGUCGAACGGCAGCACGGGUGCUUGCACCUGGUGGCGAGUGGCGAACGGGUGAGUAAUACGUCGGAACGUACCUUAUCGUGGGGGAUAACGCAGCGAAAGUUGCGCUAAUACCGCAUACGCCCUGAGGGGGAAAGCGGGGGACCGUAAGGCCUCGCGCGAUUAGAGCGGCCGAUGUCUGAUUAGCUUGUUGGUGAGGUAAAAGCUCACCAAGGCGAUGAUCAGUAGCUGGUCUGGGAGGACGAUCAGCCACACUGGGACUGAGACACGGCCCAGACUCCUACGGGAGGCAGCAGUGGGGAAUUUUGGACAAUGGGGGCAACCCUGAUCCAGCAAUGCCGCGUGAGUGAAGAAGGCCUUCGGGUUGUAAAGCUCUUUUGUCAGGGAAGAAACAGCACCUCUAACACAGUUGCGAAUGAC
RNAcentral lists this ribosomal RNA (436 nucleotides) under uncultured bacterium. RNAcentral describes it as "bacterial SSU rRNA". It matches the Rfam family "Bacterial small subunit ribosomal RNA", at positions 42 to 473 of the family's 1533-position model. The record is from RNAcentral.